Molecule: ribosomal RNA, 403 nt
Filed under: uncultured bacterium
Lineage: Bacteria
Description: bacterial SSU rRNA
Rfam family: Bacterial small subunit ribosomal RNA
Source: RNAcentral
GAUGAACGCUAGCGGCAGGCUUAAUACAUGCAAGUCGAGGGGCAGCAGUCCCGCAGCAAUGCGGGAGCUGGCGACCGGCAAACGGGUGCGGAACACGUACAGAACCUUCCUUCGAGCGGGGAAUAGCCCAGAGAAAUUUGGAUUAAUACCCCAUAGCAUUACGAAGUGGCAUCACUUUGUAAUUAAAGAUUUAUCACUCGAAGAUGGCUGUGCGGCUGAUAGGUAGUUGGCGGAGUAACGGCCCACCAAGCCUUCGAUCAGUAACUGGUGUGAGAGCACGACCAGUCACACGGGCACUGAGACACGGGGCCCCGACUCCUACGGGAGGCAGCAAGUAAGGAAUAUUGGUCAAUGGACGAAAGUCUGAACCAGCCAUGCCGCGUGGAGGAUGAAGGUCCUCUGG